UACGAAGGGGGCUAGCGUUGCUCGGAAUCACUGGGCGUAAAGCGCACGUAGGCGGAUCUUUAAGUCAGGGGUGAAAUCCCAAGGCUCAACCUUGGAACUGCCCUUGAUACUGGGGAUCUCGGGUCCGGAAGAGGUUGGUGGAACUCCGAGUGUAGAGGUGAAAUUCGUAGAUGUUCGGAAGAACACCAGUGGCGAAGGCGGCCAACUGGUCCGGCACUGACGCUGAGGUGCGAAAGCGUGGGGAGCAAACAGG
RNAcentral lists this ribosomal RNA (253 nucleotides) under uncultured bacterium. RNAcentral describes it as "partial 16S ribosomal RNA". It matches the Rfam family "Bacterial small subunit ribosomal RNA", at positions 524 to 776 of the family's 1533-position model. The record is from RNAcentral.